AUAUUUUCAUUUUACAGCUGGUUGAAUUUGAUGAUGCAGAACUUGCCGAUAGUGAGACCAACUGCACCUUGACCCACCUGAGGCCAGUCUUGAGAGUCUGGGUUUUGGCGUGAAGUACUUAACCUGGGCCAGGACUGAAAAAGAGGGGAGACUUGAGAGCCUGCAACGUGGCUCCAGGGAUCAUGUGUCAUCUACACAAAAGCUGGGGCCUCUCAAGUUCAUUGUGGCAUUCAGAGAAACAGACCAGCAGAUGAAACAAAUGUAAGAGCUGUUUUCAUGUUUACUUAUGUUUCUCAGAUAUCAUUUAUGGAAAUCCAUUGUACAACUCAUAGCAGUACUUGCUAAAAUUUCUUUUUAUGCCUCCCCUGUUCUGUGUACACCUGCAGCUGAUUCUUUCAGCAGACUCUCCCUGUUGACAGUUGUCUGUUUCCCUCUCCUCUCCCCUCUUUUUUCUAUAUCAUGUAGAUCAAUUUAGUCUCUUCAGCUUCUACUUUCAUUUUCUCUUUGUUAUCCCAACUCCCUGCAGCAAAGGAGAAUCAGGGACCUGAUUCAACAAGUAAAAACCCUUUCUUUUCCUUUCUCCUCAUCCAGUGUUAAUUCUCAAUUCUAAUGGCAUUGCAGCAAGGGUGGAAGCAGAGUUGGCAAAACCAGAAAUCUCCCCUGGGGGCCAGGGAAAAGGAGAAGGCAGUGGGAGGGGUCAGCAGAGCUGCAGUGUGUAUAUUAAUAGAGCUUCUGACUGCAGAUGGAAUAUGCAAUUUCUAGAGGAUUUAACAAAAUCCAAACUUUUUCUGUGCAUUCGAAUCUUGACAUCAGUUUUCCCGUUUAGCUCCGAUGAGGGACAGUGUGGUAGGUGAUGCUGACGACUUCCGCCUUCAUCACCAUUUCUGGGAAGAUAAGACAUCUGAAGAAAAAUCGUUUCAUUUUAGUAACAUUCAAUAAUAUUUCCUACCCACUUCAGACCUGAAUUUGACACUGUUAGAUGGAUGCUUGUCAAAGACAGUUUAAUAUGGAGUUUUCAAAAGGAAAGUCUAGUCCACAGCUUAUACAUUUUACCAGCAACAUCAUAGGUGGGUCAUGCCAUUACCGAAUGAUAUCUCAGUGGGUCUCUUGUGUCCAGACUUCUCAGUGCCUUGAGAGGAGAAGCAGUGUUCUGAUACACCNGCUCUUGCCUUCCUCAUUGGUGUGAGCAAAAUGAACAGUGCAGACAGCUUCACAUGCCCGAGCUGCUAGUGGCCCCCUGUGUAGGCCAAAUUGAUACCCCUGUUGCCAAAGAAAGUCUGGAAAAGGAGUACAGACUACUGGGAAAAUCAUUAUCUGCUUCAUCAAGGAGAAGGUGGAAAAGUCAGUCUGUAAGUUCCUGAGAUGAGAGACUCAGAGCUGCAGUAUCAACUUUAAUCAAAGAGUUGGGGGGCCCUGUGGCUCCUGGGAACGUUCUGGGCUUUCAUUCAUAGGAGGUAAGUCCAUUGGCUUGAGGUCAACGUGGAGUCAGGUUUAAGUGCAUUGUAAAUCAAACACACUGAAAACAAUGGGUUUCAGUCACAUCCUGGUGAACCCUGUGAGAACUCCAAGGUCAUGCAGGACGGGGCUCUCUCUCCAGGGCUCGCAGAUGUGAAAUCAGGCAGGAAAAGUUCUGCCUCCCAGAUGAUGAAGGCACUUUGUUUUUAACAUCCAUACUGAACCCACACACAAAGCAAGUGGGAAUAAACACCACGGGAAACCUUUCCA
Molecule: long non-coding RNA, 1725 nt
Filed under: Sus scrofa (pig)
Lineage: Eukaryota; Metazoa; Chordata; Mammalia; Artiodactyla; Suidae
Description: lncRNA (ENSSSCG00015055002.1)
Source: RNAcentral